GCCAAAAAAUCUCCAAGGAUCACAACUGGAGCAUUGCAAAUAUUAGUUGCGUCUUGGGGUCAAAAAGUCUCCAAAACUACAAUACGAAGUAACCACAUUACCACAAGUUGUUUGGAAGGGUUUCAAGAAAAAAAACCUCUACUCUCAUCCAAAAACAAACUCAAGCAUCUCCAGUUUGCUAGACACCUCUGGAACUUCAAAUGGGACCAGUUUGGUCAGAUGAAACCAAAAUAGAGCAUUAUGACAAUAAACAUUAGAGGUAGGUUUGGGGCACACAGAGAGGUAGCCAUAUGGAGAAUGACCUCAUGCCCAUGGUUAAAUAUGGUGGUGGCUCUUUAAGGUUUUGGGGCUGUUUGUCGGCCAGACAACUGGGACAUUUUGUUAGGAUACAUGGCAUCAUGGAAUCAAAUAUUAACAGAUAAUAAAUAAAAACAUGACUGCCUCUGCCAGAAAGUAUCAAAUGGGCCGUUAUUUUCUUAACAGGUCAAUGAUCCAAAACAUACAUCAAGAUCAACACAAAAAUUAUUUAAUGACCACAAAAUCAAGUUUCUGCCUUGGCCAUCCCAGUCCCCUGACUUGAACCCCAUAGAAUACCUGUGGGGUGAACUGUAAAGAAGAGUCCACAAGCACCAAAGAUCUGGAGAGAUUCUGUAUGGAGGAAUGGUCUCAGAUCUCUUGCCAUGUAUUAUCCAGCCUUUAUUAGGCAUUAGAGGAGAAGACUCAAAACUAUUACCGGUAUCUUGGCAAAGGGAGGUAGCACAAAG
This is a non-coding RNA of Pelobates cultripes (western spadefoot toad), 764 nucleotides long. NCBI's taxonomy places the organism in Eukaryota, Metazoa, Chordata, Amphibia, Anura, Pelobatidae. The record is from the annotation of a GenBank genome assembly.